RNAcentral lists this ribosomal RNA (419 nucleotides) under uncultured eukaryote. RNAcentral's name for it is "SSU rRNA". It matches the Rfam family "Eukaryotic small subunit ribosomal RNA", at positions 592 to 1018 of the family's 1831-position model. The record is from RNAcentral.
CAAUAGCGUAUAUUUAAGUUGUUGCAGUUAAAAGCUCGUAGUUGGAUUUCGGAUGUGAACGACCGGUCCGCCGUUGCGGUGUGCACUGGACGUUUGUAUCUUGCUGUCGGGGACGCGCUCCUGACCUUAACUGGGAGGGACGCGGAGUCGGCGCUGUUACUUUGAAAAAUUAGAGUGUUCAAAGCAGGCAACCGCUCUGAAUACAUUAGCAUGGAAUAACGCUAUAGGACUCCUGUCCUAUUUCGUUGGUCUCGGGACGGGAGUAAUGAUUAAGAGGAACAGUUGGGGGCAUUCGUAUUUCAUGUCAGAGGUGAAAUUCUUGGAUUAUGAAAGACGAACUUCUGCGAAAGCAUUUGCCAAGGAUGUUUUCAUUAAUUCAAGAACGAAAGUUGGGGGCGUCGAAGAUGAUUAGAUACCAU